AGUCGAGCGAGAAUUUUAUUGUUGAAGCUUCGGCCGAUUCAAUAAAAGGAAAGCGGCAAACGGCGUAGUAAUGCGUAGGUACGUACCCUCAGGUCGGGAAUAGCCACGGGAAACUGUGGGUAAUGCCCGAUAAUCUCUGCGGAGCAAAGGUGUGAUUCCGCCUGAGGAGCGGCUUACGUGAUAUUAGCUUGUUGGUGGGGUAAUGGCCUACCAAGGCAACGAUGUCUAGGGGGUGUGAGAGCAUGGCCCCCACGACCGGAACUGAGACACUGUCCGGACACCUACGGGUGGCUGCAGUCGAGAAUCUUCCGCAAUGGGCGAAAGCCUGACGGAGCGACGCCGCGUGCGGGAUGAAGGCCCUUGGGUUGUAAACCGCUGUCAGAGGGGAUGAAAUCAUGGUUGGCUAUCCUUCCAUGUUGACAGAGCCUCAAAGGAAGCACGGGCUAAGUACGUGCCAGCAGCCGCGGUAACACGUACUGUGCGAACGUUAUUCGGAAUCACUGGGCUUAAAGGGUACGUAGGCGGUUUAUCAAGUCAGGUGUGAAAUGCCUGAGCUCAACUGAGGCACUGCGCUUGAAACUGAUAAACUAGAGUAUUCCAGGGGUGUGCGGAACUGCCAGUGGAGCGGUGAAACGCGUUGAUAUUGGCAGGAACACCGGAGGCGAAGGCGGCACACUGGGGGAUAACUGACGCUGAGGUACGAAAGCCAGGGUAGCGAACGGGAUUAGAUACCCCGGUAGUCCUGGCUGUAAACGAUGAGCACUGGGCGAGAGGAAGUUCGCUUCUUUUUGCCGUAGCGAAAGCAUUAAGUGCUCCGCCU
Molecule: ribosomal RNA, 820 nt
Filed under: uncultured marine bacterium
Lineage: Bacteria
Description: bacterial SSU rRNA
Rfam family: Bacterial small subunit ribosomal RNA
Source: RNAcentral